CGGGUUGUAAACCUCUUUCACCAUCGACGAAGGUCCGGGUUCUCUCGGAUUGACGGUAGGUGGAGAAGAAGCACCGGCCAACUACGUGCCAGCAGCCGCGGUAAUACGUAGGGUGCGAGCGUUGUCCGGAAUUACUGGGCGUAAAGAGCUCGUAGGUGGUUUGUCGCGUUGUUCGUGAAAUCUCACGGCUUAACUGUGAGCGUGCGGGCGAUACGGGCAGACUAGAGUACUGCAGGGGAGACUGGAAUUCCUGGUGUAGCGGUGGAAUGCGCAGAUAUCAGGAGGAACACCGGUGGCGAAGGCGGGUCUCUGGGCAGUAACUGACGCUGAGGAGCGAAAGCGUGGGGAGCGAACAGGAUUAGAUACCCUGGUAGUCCACGCCGUAAACGGUGGGUACUAGGUGUGGGUUUCCUUCCUUGGGAUCCGUGCCGUAGCUAACGCAUUAAGUACCCCGCCUGGGGAGUACGGCCGCAAGGCUAAAACUCAAGAAA
RNAcentral lists this ribosomal RNA (491 nucleotides) under Mycobacterium tuberculosis. Its description in RNAcentral is "bacterial SSU rRNA". It matches the Rfam family "Bacterial small subunit ribosomal RNA", at positions 419 to 908 of the family's 1533-position model. The record is from RNAcentral. Lineage: Bacteria; Bacillati; Actinomycetota; Actinomycetes; Mycobacteriales; Mycobacteriaceae.